Molecule: transfer RNA, 75 nt
Filed under: Cordylochernes scorpioides
Lineage: Eukaryota; Metazoa; Arthropoda; Arachnida; Pseudoscorpiones; Chernetidae
Description: tRNA-Thr
Source: RNAcentral
UGUCAAGGGAUGGGAAUCGAACCCCCGACCUUCCGCCCACCGGGCAGAUGCCAUGACCACUAGGCUACCUGGGAC